Molecule: ribosomal RNA, 440 nt
Filed under: uncultured bacterium
Lineage: Bacteria
Description: bacterial SSU rRNA
Rfam family: Bacterial small subunit ribosomal RNA
Source: RNAcentral
UCGAGAAUCUUCGGCAAUGGGCGCAAGCCUGACCGAGCGACGCCGCGUGGAGGACGAAGGCCUUCGGGUUGUAAACUCCUGUCGAGGGGGAAGAAGUCCCGACUUGUCGGGAUUGACUGAUCCCUGGAGGAAGCACGGGCUAAGUUCGUGCCAGCAGCCGCGGUAAGACGAACCGUGCGAACGUUAUUCGGAAUCACUGGGCUUAAAGCGCGUGUAGGCGGGAAGGUACGUCGGUCGUUGAAAUCCCCCGGCUCAACCGGGGAAGUGGCGCCGAUACGGCCUUCCUGGAGGAACGUAGGGGGACCUGGAACUUCCGGUGGAGCGGUGAAAUGCGUUGAGAUCGGAAGGAACGCCCGUGGCGAAAGCGAGGUCCUGGACGUUUUCUGACGCUGAGACGCGAAAGCCAGGGGAGCAAACGGGAUUAGAUACCCGCGUAGUCC